UUGUUAUAUCUCCACUAACUGAGGCAGAAGAGGGGGUUUAAACCUUCAAGUAAGUUAUGUGGGUCAAGGUAUGGUGAUUAAUUGGAGUUCUAGUUCAUUUACUUUGAGAAAAUUAGAGUGUUUAAAGCAGCCUCUUGGGGGCACUGAAUACAUUAGCAUGGGAUAAUAAAAUAGGAUCUUCACAAUAUAUUUUAUUGGUUUAAAUUGGAUAUGAAGAUAAUGAUUAAUAGGGACAGUUGGGGGUAUUCAUAUUGGGUGGUUAGCGGUGAAAUGCUCGGAUCCAUUCAAGAUGAACUAAAGCGAAAGCAUUUACCAAGGAUGUUUUCAUUAAUCAAGAACGAAAGUUAAGGGGAUCGAAGACGAUUAGAUACCGUCGUAGUCUUAACUAUAAACUAUGCCGACCAGGGAUAUGAGUUGUUAGGAUUAUAUGAAAGUAUAAUCAAUUUCUUCUUAUGAACCUUGUGAGAAAUCAUAAGUUUUUGGGUUCUGGGGGGAGUAUGGUCGCAAGGCUGAAACUUAAAGGAAUUGACGGAGGU
Molecule: ribosomal RNA, 536 nt
Filed under: uncultured eukaryote
Lineage: Eukaryota
Description: bacterial SSU rRNA
Rfam family: Eukaryotic small subunit ribosomal RNA
Source: RNAcentral